Molecule: ribosomal RNA, 274 nt
Filed under: uncultured bacterium
Lineage: Bacteria
Description: partial 16S ribosomal RNA
Rfam family: Bacterial small subunit ribosomal RNA
Source: RNAcentral
AUACGGAGGGUGCAAGCGUUAAUCGGAAUUACUGGGCGUAAAGCGCGCGUAGGCGGUUUGAUAAGUCGGAUGUGAAAUCCCCGGGCUCAACCUGGGAAUUGCAUUCGAUACUGUCAGGCUAGAGUGUGGUAGAGGGAAGUGGAAUUUCCGGUGUAGCGGUGAAAUGCGUAGAUAUCGGAAGGAACACCAGUGGCGAAGGCGGCUUCCUGGACCAACACUGACGCUGAGGUGCGAAAGCGUGGGGAGCAAACAGGAUUAGAUACCCGAGUAGUCC